ACCUGAUUGGCUCAGUCAGUGGAGCGUGCAACUUUUGAUCUCAGUGUCAUGAGUUCGAGCCCCAUAUCAAGCA
This 73-nucleotide transfer RNA is filed under the name Canis lupus familiaris (dog). It matches the Rfam family "tRNA". From Rfam's summary of the family: Transfer RNA (tRNA) molecules are approximately 80 nucleotides in length. The record is from Rfam by way of RNAcentral. Lineage: Eukaryota; Metazoa; Chordata; Mammalia; Carnivora; Canidae. RNAcentral also lists the same sequence under 1 other name.